This 497-nucleotide ribosomal RNA is filed under the name uncultured bacterium. RNAcentral's name for it is "partial 16S ribosomal RNA". It matches the Rfam family "Bacterial small subunit ribosomal RNA", at positions 28 to 507 of the family's 1533-position model. The record is from RNAcentral.
GAUGAACGCUGGCGGCGUGCCUAAUACAUGCAAGUCGAGCGAACAGACGAGGAGCUUGCUCCUCUGACGUUAGCGGCGGACGGGUGAGUAACACGUGGAUAACCUACCUAUAAGACUGGGAUAACUUCGGGAAACCGGAGCUAAUACCGGAUAACAUGUUGAACCGCAUGGUUCAACAGUGAAAGACGGUUUUGCUGUCACUUAUAGAUGGAUCCGCGUCGCAUUAACUAGUUGGUAAGGUAACGGCUUACCAAGGCAACGAUGCGUAGCCGACCUGAGAGGGGGGUCGGAAAAAGUGGAACUGAGACACGGUCCAGACUCCUACGGGAGGCGGCAGUAGGGAAUAGUACGCAAUGGGCGAAAGCCUGACGGAGCAAAGCGGCGAGAGUGAUGAAGGUAUUAGGAUCGUAAAACUCUGUAAUUAGGGAAGAAAAAAUGUGUAAGUAACUAUGCACGUCUUGACGGUACCUAAUCAGAAAGCCACGGCUAACUACGUG